UAACUCAAGUGGCGGACGGGUGAGUAACACGUAAGAAUUUGCCCUUAGGAGGGGGACAACAACUGGAAACGGUUGCUAAUACCCCAUAUGCUUUCGAGUGAAAUGGAUUUCCGCCUAAAGAGAAGCUUGCGGCUGAUUAGCUUGUUGGUGAGGUAAUGGCUCACCAAGGCGACGAUCAGUAUCUGGUUUGAGAGGACGAUCAGACACACUGGAACUGAGACACGGUCCAGACUCCUACGGGAGGCAGCAGUAGGGAAUUUUCCGCAAUGGGCGAAAGCCUGACGGAGCAAUACCGCGUGAGGGAUGACUGCCUAUGGGUUGUAAACCUCUUUUUUCAGGGAGGAAUAAAUGACGUGUACCUGAAGAAUAAGCAUCGGCUAACUCCGUGCCAGCAGCCGCGGUAAGACGGAGGAUGCAAGUGUUAUCCGGAAUCACUGGGCGUAAAGCGUCUGUAGGUGGCUCGAUAAGUCAACUGUUAAAUCUUGAAGCUCAACUUCAAAAUCGCAGUCGAAACUAUCGGACUAGAGUAUAGUAGAGGUAAAGGGAAUUUCCAGUGGAGCGGUGAAAUGCGUAGAUAUUGGAAAGAACACCGAUGGCGAAGGCACUUUACUGGGCUAUUACUGACACUCAGAGACGAAAGCUAGGGUAGCAAAUGGGAUUAGAUACCCCAGUAGUCCUAGCCGUAAACAAUGGAUACUAG
RNAcentral lists this ribosomal RNA (700 nucleotides) under uncultured cyanobacterium. RNAcentral describes it as "bacterial SSU rRNA". It matches the Rfam family "Bacterial small subunit ribosomal RNA", at positions 87 to 819 of the family's 1533-position model. Lineage: Bacteria; Bacillati; Cyanobacteriota. The record is from RNAcentral.